Molecule: ribosomal RNA, 251 nt
Filed under: uncultured prokaryote
Description: partial 16S rRNA
Rfam family: Bacterial small subunit ribosomal RNA
Source: RNAcentral
ACGGGAGAGGCAAGCGUUGUUCGGAAUCACUGGGCUUAAAGCGCGUGUAGGCGGCCUCGUAAGUACCUUGUGAAAUCCCUCGUCUCAACCGAGGAACUGCUUGGUAUACUGCGAGGCUUGAGGCGGGUAGGGGUGCUUGGAACUCUAGGUGGAGCGGUGAAAUGCGUAGAGAUCUAGGGGAACGCCGGUGGCGAAAGCGGAGCACUGGGCCUGACCUGACGCUGAGACGCGAAAGCGUGGGGAGCAAACGG